Molecule: ribosomal RNA, 391 nt
Filed under: Escherichia coli
Lineage: Bacteria; Pseudomonadati; Pseudomonadota; Gammaproteobacteria; Enterobacterales; Enterobacteriaceae
Description: bacterial SSU rRNA
Rfam family: Bacterial small subunit ribosomal RNA
Source: RNAcentral
GGGGGACCUUCGGGCCUCUUGCCAUCGGAUGUGCCCAGAUGGGAUUAGCUAGUAGGUGGGGUAACGGCUCACCUAGGCGACGAUCCCUAGCUGGUCUGAGAGGAUGACCAGCCACACUGGAACUGAGACACGGUCCAGACUCCUACGGGAGGCAGCAGUGGGGAAUAUUGCACAAUGGGCGCAAGCCUGAUGCAGCCAUGCCGCGUGUAUGAAGAAGGCCUUCGGGUUGUAAAGUACUUUCAGCGGGGAGGAAGGGAGUAAAGUUAAUACCUUGGCUCAUUGACGUUACCCGCAGAAGAAGCACCGGCUAACUCCGGGCCAGCAGCCGCGGUAAUACGGAGGGUGCAAGCGUUAAUCGGAAUUACUGGGCGUAAAGCGCACGCAGCGGGUC